RNAcentral lists this ribosomal RNA (253 nucleotides) under uncultured bacterium. RNAcentral describes it as "partial 16S ribosomal RNA". It matches the Rfam family "Bacterial small subunit ribosomal RNA", at positions 524 to 776 of the family's 1533-position model. The record is from RNAcentral.
UACAGAGGUCCCAAGCGUUGUUCGGAUUCACUGGGCGUAAAGGGUGCGUAGGUGGUUGGGUAAGUCUGAUGUGAAAUCUCCAAGCUCAACUUGGAAACUGCAUCGGAUACUAUCCGACUAGAGGGUUGGAGGGGAGACUGGAAUACUUGGUGUAGCAGUGAAAUGCGUAGAUAUCAAGUGGAACACCAGUGGCGAAGGCGAGUCUCUGGACAACUCCUGACACUGAGGCACGAAAGCUAGGGGAGCAAACAGG